CACCGUCCGAUCUCAAAUUGAAAGCCUCCAUAUCAUAGCCGCAACCGUAGCUAUGCCUUCUAGACUCUUCCCUGGGCGAUGAUAAGGUACUGCUAUUUGUAGCUGAGGGGCCAAGGCCAUUACUGCGUAGAGUCUGGAGGUGGUGGUUGGCGAUGAAGGCAGUGGGGUUGUCAUUUUGAUCGGGAUUAAGCCAUUUAGAAUUAGGCUUGGAUUUAACUUUAGAUUGGGGCUUAGAAUCAGGUUCAGGUGGAUUAAGAGCGGACUCAGGGAGGAAGAUCCGUAUCGAGAGAGAGGUAAAAGGGUCGAUAUGAAUAUCCUUGGUGGCGACGCCAUCGGCAAAGGAAGGAUUAGGAGCGGAGACAGACUCCUCGGGUCGGGUGGUAACGCCGAAGGGAUUAGUAUCAUCAUGGGGGGUUUGGAUCCGAUUCUGCAAACGGUGCUUCAAGAGGAACUUGAAGAAGACACUGUAUAACUUGACAGCCACGCUUGGCAUUUCUCCUUCUCCCUCUCUCUCUCUCUCCAGAUUUUGUGCUCGUGCUCACUGGGUCCGGAUAGAGAGGAAAUGGAGGAUUGGUAGGUGGUGAUUUUUGUACGUAUUUUCAGGGAUUAAGAAGAAUGCAAGGUUAGAUUAAUUAUAGGAUAAAGUUAAAAAUUGGGGAUUUUAGAUUGGAUUAGGGUUUUUAUAAAACUAUGGUUUGCUUUGGCUUUUUUGAAUCUGAUUGAUUUCAAUGGCAACUGAGAGAGAUGACGGUCGAUGGAUGAUGAUGACAAUGGAUAAUGGUGGGCUGC
This 789-nucleotide unclassified non-coding RNA is filed under the name Hevea brasiliensis (rubber tree). Lineage: Eukaryota; Viridiplantae; Streptophyta; Magnoliopsida; Malpighiales; Euphorbiaceae. The record is from RNAcentral.